AUAGGCAAUUCUAUCGGAGGUGAAAUUGCAAUGCUAGCCACUCUUUGGUUUUUGCAAAUGAAGGCAAAGAAACAUAUCUUGUUUUUGUAUUACAUUUUUUCUCCUUUGGUAGGAAAUGCUAUUCUUUGGGAGGCAAUUGGGCGUGGGGAUUGAAUGGGAAAAUUCUGUCAUAUUGUUUCCAGGAAAUAGAUGUGCAUAGAAAUGGGCCAUUCUAUGGGAGGUGAAAUUGUUCCCAGGAUGCUUCUUGCACUAUUUGAAUCAAUUGCCAAGCCUUUGAAUGUGAUUGUUCCUCACUGGAUAUCCAUGUGUUGCAUCUCAUUCACACUGACUUGAAGCCAGAAAAUUUACUUGUUUCUUCAGAUUAUGUAAAUAUUUCAGAUAAUAAUGUAUCGGAUGGACACACUGUUGUGAUAUUUGGAGUUUUGGAUGUACAAUUGUCGAGCUUUUCUCUUGUACAACCUGAGUUGAUCUAGUGAUGGAAAACUUGUGCUCUUGAAUGAGAGGUCACAAGUUCAAAUCCCACAAGGGUGUCAGGUACGAAGUAGUCCCAUAGAGCUCUAACCCAUCUGUAGACCCAUACAUAGAUGGCUGGCAUUGUGGACUAUAAAAGACAUUUUACUUUCUUUAAGAUUCAAAGCUGCUUGCUAUGUAAAGGCAUUUGAAGGCAGAGACGGGCAAACAG
Cryptomeria japonica (Japanese cedar) is the source of this 682-nucleotide long non-coding RNA. RefSeq lists it as uncharacterized. NCBI's taxonomy places the organism in Eukaryota, Viridiplantae, Streptophyta, Pinopsida, Cupressales, Cupressaceae. The record is from RefSeq and is a predicted model, not a curated record. The transcript has 4 exons.